CUUGCUUCCACUGAGAAGAUAGUGGCGAACGGGGUGAGUAACACGUGGGUAACCCUGCCCAUAAGAGGGGGGAGUAACAUCCGAAACGGGUGGCUAAUACCGCAUAGUUUUCUUGAUCGCAUGAUCGGGAAAGGAAAGACGGCCUUUGUGCUGUCGCUUAUGGAUGGACCCGCGGCGUAUUAGUUAGUUGGUGAGGUAACGGCUCACCAAGACGAUGAUACGUAGCCGACCUGAGAGGGUGAUCGGCCACAUUGGGACUGAGACACGGCCCAAACUCCUACGGGAGGCAGCAGUAGGGAAUCUUCCGCAAUGGACGAAAGUCUGACGGAGCAACGCCGCGUGAGUGAAGAAAAGGUUUUCGGAUCGUAAAACUCUGUUGUCAGAGAAGAACAAGUUGGAGAGUAACUGCUCCAGCCUUGACGGUAUCUGACCAGAAAGCCACGGCUAACUACGUGCCAGCCGCCGC
This 466-nucleotide ribosomal RNA is filed under the name uncultured bacterium. RNAcentral's name for it is "bacterial SSU rRNA". It matches the Rfam family "Bacterial small subunit ribosomal RNA", at positions 67 to 518 of the family's 1533-position model. The record is from RNAcentral.